Molecule: ribosomal RNA, 503 nt
Filed under: uncultured bacterium
Lineage: Bacteria
Description: bacterial SSU rRNA
Rfam family: Bacterial small subunit ribosomal RNA
Source: RNAcentral
ACAUGCCGAGAAUCCGGUGGAAACAUUGGAGUGCCCCGUAAGGGGAACUUGGACACAGGUGCUGCAUGGCUGUCGUCAGCUCGUGCCGUGAGGUGUUGGGUUAAGUCCCGCAACGAGCGCAACCCUCAUCCUUAGUUGCCAUCAUUAAGUUGGGCACCCUAAGGAAACUGCCGCAGUUAAUGCGGAGGAAGGUGGGGAUGACGUCAAGUCCUCAUGGCCCUUAUACCCAGGGCUACACACGUGCUACAAUGGACGGUACAAAGGGUCGCAAAACUGCAAAGUGGAGCUAAUCCCACAAAACCGUUCUCAGUUCGGAUUGGAGUCUGCAACCCGACUCCAUGAAGCUGGAAUCGCUAGUAAUCGCGGAUCAGCACGCCGCGGUGAAUACGUUCCCGGGCCUUGUACACACCGCCCGUCACACCACGAAAGCUUGUUGUACCAGAAGUCGUUGGGCUAACCCGUAAGGGAUGCAGAUGCCGAAGGUAUGGCAGGUAAUUGGGGUG